GACGAACGCUGGCGGCGUGCUUAACACAUGCAAGUCGAACGGAAAGGCCCUGCUUUUGUGGGGUGCUCGAGUGGCGAACGGGUGAGUAACACGUGAGUAACCUGCCCUUGACUUUGGGAUAACUUCAGGAAACUGGGGCUAAUACCGGAUAGGAGCUCCUGCUGCAUGGUGGGGGUUGGAAAGUUUCGGCGGUUGGGGAUGGACUCGCGGCUUAUCAGCUUGUUGGUGGGGUAGUGGCUUACCAAGGCUUUGACGGGUAGCCGGCCUGAGAGGGUGACUGGCCACAUUGGGACUGAGAUACGGCCCAGACUCCUACGGGAGGCAGCAGUGGGGAAUAUUGCACAAUGGGCGGAAGCCUGAUGCAGCAACGCCGCGUGCGGGAUGACGGCCUUCGGGUUGUAAACCGCCUUCGCCUGUGACGAAGCGUGAGUGACGGUAAUGGGUAAAGAAGCACCGGCUAACUACGUG
Molecule: ribosomal RNA, 468 nt
Filed under: uncultured bacterium
Lineage: Bacteria
Description: partial 16S ribosomal RNA
Rfam family: Bacterial small subunit ribosomal RNA
Source: RNAcentral